Long non-coding RNA from Diceros bicornis minor, 2300 nucleotides. RefSeq lists it as uncharacterized. The record is from RefSeq and is a predicted model, not a curated record. NCBI's taxonomy places the organism in Eukaryota, Metazoa, Chordata, Mammalia, Perissodactyla, Rhinocerotidae. The transcript has 4 exons.
GGCCCUCCCUGUUCCUGAAGACUGAGAGGGACAUCCUUAUCCCCAGAGCCAGGGAAGUCAAGGCUGAGAGGCCUCUAUAAACAGACCCUGUUGCUUUUACUAAUUUACUACCUCAAGCCUAAACUCUGUUUAUAUUCCUCUCUUAUUACAUACCUCGAACCUCCAUUUCUUUGUCCUGUCAUUCCUCACAAAUUUAUUGUUUCUUUGUGUAAAAGCUAUAUAAACUAUGUGCUUUGUUCAUUCUCCAAGUGUCAUUUUUAUGAUUUUCCAUGCACAUGUAAUUAAAUUGGGUUUUUCUCCUGUUAAUAUGGUCGUACAGCUACAAGAACACAGGAAGGGUAAAAGAGGGAAGUUCCCCACCUCAACAAGAUCAUUUUUUUUUAAUUUAUAUUUCUUCUAAUGACUAAUGAUGGUGAGAAUUUGCAUGUGCUUGUUGGUCAUUUCUAUCUUUUUCGUGAAGUGUUUGUCCAAAUCUUGUGCUCAUAUUUUAAAAUUCGGUUGUUUGUCCUCUCUUAUUAUUCAGUUAUAAAUAUUCUUUUUAUAGUGUCUUCCUUUAUUAAUGAUGCCUUUUAAAGAGCAGAACUUUUUAAUUUUAAUGACGUCUAGUUGACCUGAAGCCAAUGUUUGCCCACCAGCCCUGCAAAACUGUUGGAAACUUUGCUCAGCUUCUCGGCCUCUUGGCUUCUGUUUACAGAUUUUUCAACUGGUCUCUUGGGGCAUGCUGGGGAAACAGAAUCCCAUACCCUGCAGCAUGUUGCUUCAUCCAGCUCCAGAACUGGCGAGAGAAAUCAGAUCCCUGACGGGUGCGGUGGGGCCUGGUGUCGCAGCUGCCACAGCUCACACUACCUCAGGCACAGUGGAAACAAGCACUCACCUCGGGGGAGGCUGGGCAGCCUGUGGACCUUGUUGAUGAAGGGGUGGUGACUUCAUGUCCAUGUCUGUCAUGUGGCACUACCAGGGUCAUCCUCGCCACUGUAAUUUGAAUACGUGUGGCCAGUGGGAAAUGAUGACCUUUCCUAAGAGAAGAGGACGUCUCUUCAGUAAAGGGAAUAUGCAUGGCUGUGGUUCCCUGCAAGAACCUAAUCUACAGCCCUCGUCUCAACAUCAAGAAACACUUUAUCACAACAUUGCAUAUGGAGUUAAAAAACACACGUGUGCAUUAUGAUCUCAAUAUAUGAUAUGUAUGUCUAUAAAACAUAUAUGCAUGUAUGAAGAUGUAUACUAAAAUGUUACUGAUUAUAACAGAAGCAUGGAAUUGUGGGUGCAAGCUAAUUUCUGUGCACUUUUUUGUAUUGUCAUCAUUUUAUUUAAUGGGCAUAUCGUUUUUUUUUCCCAAAAAAACUUUAAAAAUACUGUUUUGUCAGAUGUCGUGCUCCUCUCAGCACUCAAAUCAGUUAAAACAUGAAAUGCAUAGAAUAGGACAUGGCGCAUAGUCUGUUCUCAAUAAAUGUUGACUAUUAUGUUUACUGCAUAGGAAAGUAAAUUCAUCUUUUUCACGAACUGCAAAUUUAAAAUAUCCAUAUUUAAAGGCAUGAGUCUUAAAGAGCAUAUGGAUCUACAAAGGUACCAAUGAUCCACCAAGGAUGCUUGUCUCCUUUUUUUUUUUAAUGCAGUAUAAUUGAAACAGGAAAAAAGAUCUGUGAUAACUAUUAGACAGGGGAAUAUGAGAGAUUUGAAGUCAGCAGCUCUGGGCUGUGCGUGCUGCCCCUGGUUGGCUGAGGUUAUAAUCUGGACAGAAAAGAAUUAAAGAAUAUCUUGAGAGGAAAAUGAUGAGCAAAGGAAGAGUAGAAAAGAAAAGAGAGCAGAAAUGGAAAGGGGAGAAAAGAGUCAGAUAUAAAGAUUAAUUGGAGGAAAGAAAAAGAGGAAGAAAGUGAUGAUUGGACAAACAGCAUCUGCAAAGACCAAUUGAUGUUCCUACAUGUGCCAGACAGUCUGCUAAGUGUUUGACAAGAACUCGCUCAGUUAAUUCUAGAACAACCUCUGGAAUUGGUAUUUUCUUGUCCCUAUUGAACAGACGAGAAAACUAAGGCUUUCAGAGUUUAAGCGAUUUUUCCCCAGAUUAUGUGCUGCAUCUCUUUAGUGAGAUGUGUCCUGGAAAGCCUGAUUCUCUCUGAGCCUCCCUUUGGCCUGAUUUGUCUUUUUGAGGGUGUGAUGUCAGAUCUUCCCAGAUUGUAAAAUAAACAAACAGAAUAUCUGCCUCUCGUCAGAUGUCCGGUAUGUUGUCAUUAUUUUCUAUCAUCCUGUGAAUCAAGCAGGUUUAAUAAGGCUCGUAGUAACUUAAUAUGAAGAGAAAUGCUGAG